This 582-nucleotide ribosomal RNA is filed under the name Salmonella enterica. Its description in RNAcentral is "partial 23S ribosomal RNA". It matches the Rfam family "Bacterial large subunit ribosomal RNA", at positions 2221 to 2802 of the family's 2925-position model. RNAcentral also lists the same sequence under 1 other name. Lineage: Bacteria; Pseudomonadati; Pseudomonadota; Gammaproteobacteria; Enterobacterales; Enterobacteriaceae. The record is from RNAcentral.
UCUAACGUGGACCCGUUACCCGGGUUGCGGACAGUGUCUGGUGGGUAGUUUGACUGGGGCGGUCUCCUCCUAAAGAGUAACGGAGGAGCACGAAGGUUGGCUAAUCCUGGUCGGACAUCAGGAGGUUAGUGCAAUGGCAUAAGCCAGCUUGACUGCGAGCGUGACGGCGCGAGCAGGUGCGAAAGCAGGUCAUAGUGAUCCGGUGGUUCUGAAUGGAAGGGCCAUCGCUCAACGGAUAAAAGGUACUCCGGGGAUAACAGGCUGAUACCGCCCAAGAGUUCAUAUCGACGGCGGUGUUUGGCACCUCGAUGUCGGCUCAUCACAUCCUGGGGCUGAAGUAGGUCCCAAGGGUAUGGCUGUUCGCCAUUUAAAGUGGUACGCGAGCUGGGUUUAGAACGUCGUGAGACAGUUCGGUCCCUAUCUGCCGUGGGCGCUGGAGAACUGAGGGGGGCUGCUCCUAGUACGAGAGGACCGGAGUGGACGCAUCACUGGUGUUCGGGUUGUCAUGCCAAUGGCACUGCCCGGUAGCUAAAUGCGGAAGAGAUAAGUGCUGAAAGCAUCUAAGCACGAAACUUGCCCCGA